This 608-nucleotide ribosomal RNA is filed under the name Paracoccus sp. (in: a-proteobacteria). Its description in RNAcentral is "bacterial SSU rRNA". It matches the Rfam family "Bacterial small subunit ribosomal RNA", at positions 103 to 745 of the family's 1533-position model. The record is from RNAcentral. Lineage: Bacteria; Pseudomonadati; Pseudomonadota; Alphaproteobacteria; Rhodobacterales; Paracoccaceae.
CGGGUGAGUAACGCGUGGGAAUGUGCCCUUCUCUACGGAAUAGUCCUGGGAAACUGGGGGUAAUACCGUAUACGCCCUUUGGGGGAAAGAUUUAUCGGAGAAGGAUCAGCCCGCGUUGGAUUAGGUAGUUGGUGGGGUAAUGGCCUACCAAGCCUACGAUCCAUAGCUGGUUUGAGAGGAUGAUCAGCCACACUGGGACUGAGACACGGCCCAGACUCCUACGGGAGGCAGCAGUGGGGAAUCUUAGACAAUGGGGGCAACCCUGAUCUAGCCAUGCCGCGUGAGUGAUGAAGGCCUUAGGGUUGUAAAGCUCUUUCAGCUGGGAAGAUAAUGACGGUACCAGCAGAAGAAGCCCCGGCUAACUCCGUGCCAGCAGCCGCGGUAAUACGGAGGGGGCUAGCGUUGUUCGGAAUUACUGGGCGUAAAGCGCACGUAGGCGGACUGGAAAGUUGGGGGUGAAAUCCCGGGGCUCAACCCCGGAACUGCCUUCAAAACUAUCAGUCUUGAGUUCGAGAGAGGUGAGUGGAAUUCCGAGUGUAGAGGUGAAAUUCGUAGAUAUUCGCGAGGAACACCAGUGGCGAAGGCGGCUCACUGGCUCGAUACUGACG